Molecule: ribosomal RNA, 890 nt
Filed under: Cortinarius clelandii
Lineage: Eukaryota; Fungi; Basidiomycota; Agaricomycetes; Agaricales; Cortinariaceae
Description: LSU rRNA
Rfam family: Eukaryotic large subunit ribosomal RNA
Source: RNAcentral
AGGAAAAGAAACUAACAAGGAUUCCCCUAGUAACUGCGAGUGAAGCGGGAAAAGCUCAAAUUUAAAAUCUGGCAGUCUUUGGCUGUCCGAGUUGUAAUCUAGAGAAGUGUUAUCCGCGCUGGACCGUGUACAAGUCUCCUGGAAUGGAGCGUCAUAGAGGGUGAGAAUCCCGUCUUUGACACGGACUACCAGGGCUUUGUGAUGCGCUCUCAAAGAGUCGAGUUGUUUGGGAAUGCAGCUCAAAAUGGGUGGUAAAUUCCAUCUAAAGCUAAAUAUUGGCGAGAGACCGAUAGCGAACAAGUACCGUGAGGGAAAGAUGAAAAGAACUUUGGAAAGAGAGUUAAACAGUACGUGAAAUUGCUGAAAGGGAAACGCUUGAAGUCAGUCGCGUUAUCCAGGGAUCAGCCUUGCUUUUGCUUGGUGCACUUUCUGGUUGACGGGUCAGCAUCAAUUUUGACUAUUGGAAAAAGAUUAGGGGAAUGUGGCAUCUUUGGAUGUGUUAUAGCCCUUGGUUGCAUACAAUGGUUGGGAUUGAGGAACUCAGCACGCCGCAAGGCCGGGUUUUAACCACGUACGUGCUUAGGAUGCUGGCAUAAUGGCUUUAAUCGACCCGUCUUGAAACACGGACCAAGGAGUCUAACAUACCUGCGAGUGUUUGGGUGGAAAACCCGAGCGCGUAAUGAAAGUGAAAGUUGAGAUCCCUGUCGUGGGGAGCAUCGACGCCCAGACCAGAUCUUUUGUGACGGUUCUGCGGUAGAGCAUGUAUGUUGGGACCCGAAAGAUGGUGAACUAUGCCUGAAUAGGGUGAAGCCAGAGGAAACUCUGGUGGAGGCUCGUAGCGAUUCUGACGUGCAAAUCGAUCGUCAAAUUUGGGUAUAGGGGCGAAAGAC